This 625-nucleotide ribosomal RNA is filed under the name Apiotrichum loubieri. Its description in RNAcentral is "LSU rRNA". It matches the Rfam family "Eukaryotic large subunit ribosomal RNA", at positions 34 to 651 of the family's 3401-position model. The record is from RNAcentral. Lineage: Eukaryota; Fungi; Basidiomycota; Tremellomycetes; Trichosporonales; Trichosporonaceae.
UUAAGCAUAUCAAUAAGCGGAGGAAAAGAAACUAACAAGGAUUCCCUUAGUAACGGCGAGUGAACCGGGAAGAGCUCAAAUUUGAAAUCUGGCUGUCUUCGAUAGUCCGAGUUGUAAUCUAUAGAAGCGUUUUCCGUGCUGAACUGUGUCUAAGUCCCUUGGAACAGGGUAUCAAAGAGGGUGACAAUCCCGUACUUGACACAAUCAUCAGUGCUCUGUGAUACGCUCUCUACGAGUCGAGUUGUUUGGGAAUGCAGCUCAAAAUGGGUGGUAAAUUCCAUCUAAAGCUAAAUAUUGGCGAGAGACCGAUAGCGAACAAGUACCGUGAGGGAAAGAUGAAAAGCACUUUGGAAAGAGAGUUAAACAGUACGUGAAAUUGUUGAAAGGGAAACGAUUGAAGUCAGUCGUGUUCAUUGGAUUCAGCCGGUCUUCGGUGUACUUCCUUUGAACGGGUCAACAUCAGUUUUGCCCGGUGGAUAAAGGCAGUAGGAAUGUGGCCUCUUCGGAGGUGUUAUAGCCUAUUGUCACAUACACUGGGGGAGACUGAGGACUGCAGCUCGCCUUUUGGCCGGGGUUCGCCCACGUUCGAGCUUAGGAUGUUGACAUAAUGGCUUUAAACGACCCG